AGCAGCCGCGGUAAUUCCAGCUCCAAUAGCGUAUAUUAAAGUUGUUGCAGUUAAAAAGCUCGUAGUUGAACUUCGGAAUUUGCCCAUUGGUCAGGCUUAACUGUCUGUACUAGUGUGACGAGUUCCUACCUUCUGAGGAAUCUCCAUGUCAUUCAGUUGGUGUGGGGGGGAAUCAGGACUGUUACUUUGAAAAAUUAGAGUGUUUAAAGCAGGCAUCUGUCUGAAUACAUUAGCAUGGAAUAAUAAAAUAGGACGGUUUGGUUCUAUUUUGUUGGUUUCUAGGAUCACCGUAAUGAUUAAUAGGGAUAGUUGGGGGCAUUAGUAUUCAAUUGUCAGAGGUGAAAUUCUUGGAUUUAUUGAAGACUAACUACUGCGAAAGCAUUUGCCAAGGAUGUUUCCAUUAAUCAAGAACGAAAGUUAGGGGAUCGAAGACGAUCAGAUACCGUCGUA
This 450-nucleotide ribosomal RNA is filed under the name uncultured Diversispora. RNAcentral's name for it is "SSU rRNA". It matches the Rfam family "Eukaryotic small subunit ribosomal RNA", at positions 569 to 1022 of the family's 1831-position model. Lineage: Eukaryota; Fungi; Glomeromycota; Glomeromycetes; Diversisporales; Diversisporaceae. The record is from RNAcentral.